RNAcentral lists this ribosomal RNA (450 nucleotides) under uncultured bacterium. RNAcentral describes it as "partial 16S ribosomal RNA". It matches the Rfam family "Bacterial small subunit ribosomal RNA", at positions 354 to 796 of the family's 1533-position model. The record is from RNAcentral.
GUGGGGAAUAUUGGACAAUGGGCGAAAGCCUGAUCCAGCCAUGCCGCGUGUGUGAAGAAGGUCUUCGGAUUGUAAAGCACUUUAAGUUGGGAGGAAGGGCAGUAAGCUAAUACCUUGCUGUUUUGACGUUACCGACAGAAUAAGCACCGGCUAACUUCGUGCCAGCAGCCGCGGUAAUACGAAGGGUGCAAGCGUUAAUCGGAAUUACUGGGCGUAAAGCGCGCGUAGGUGGUUUUGUAAGUUGGAGGUGAAAUCCCCGGGCUCAACCUGGGAACUGCCUCCAAAACUGCAUGACUAGAGUACGGUAGAGGGUAGUGGAAUUUCCUGUGUAGCGGUGAAAUGCGUAGAUAUAGGAAGGAACACCAGUGGCGAAGGCGACUACCUGGACUGAUACUGACACUGAGGUGCGAAAGCGUGGGGAGCAAACAGGAUUAGAAACCCCAGUAGUCC